UACGGAGGGUGCGAGCGUUGUCCGGAAUCACUGGGCGUAAAGGGCGCGUAGGCGGCCUGAUAAGUAGGGGGGUGAAAUCCUGUGGCUUAACUGCAGGGCUGCCUCCUAGACUGUUAGGCUCGAGCACGGUAGAGGCAGAUGGAAUUCCCGGUGUAGCGGUGGAAUGCGUAGAGAUCGGGAAGAACAUCGGUGGCGGAGGCGGUCUGCUGG
RNAcentral lists this ribosomal RNA (210 nucleotides) under uncultured bacterium. RNAcentral's name for it is "partial 16S ribosomal RNA". It matches the Rfam family "Bacterial small subunit ribosomal RNA", at positions 524 to 732 of the family's 1533-position model. The record is from RNAcentral.